RNAcentral lists this ribosomal RNA (464 nucleotides) under uncultured bacterium. Its description in RNAcentral is "bacterial SSU rRNA". It matches the Rfam family "Bacterial small subunit ribosomal RNA", at positions 30 to 486 of the family's 1533-position model. The record is from RNAcentral.
AUUGAACGCUGGCGGCAGGCCUAACACAUGCAAGUCGAGCGGUAGAGAGGUGCUUGCAUCUCUUGAGAGCGGCGGACGGGUGAGUAAUGCCUAGGAAUCUGCCUGGUGGUGGGGGAUAACGUUCGGAAACGGACGCUAAUACCGCAUACGUCCUACGGGAGAAAGCGGGGGAUCUUCGGACCUCGCGCCAUUAGAUGAGCCUAGGUCGGAUUAGCUAGUUGGUGAGGUAAUGGGCUCACCAAGGCGACGAUCCGUAACUGGUCUGAGAGGAUGAUCAGUCACACUGGAACUGAGACACGGUCCAGACUCCUACGGGAGGCAGCAGUGGGGAAUAUUGGACAAUGGGCGAAAGCCUGAUCCAGCCAUGCCGCGUGUGUGAAGAAGGUCUUCGGAUUGUAAAGCACUUUAAGUUGGGAGGAAGGGUAGUAACCUAAUACGUUGCUACUUUGACGUUACCGACAGAA